CCUCUCCUUUUGUCAGACUCUCAGUCUCUGUCUUCCUCCUCAGACACCUCUCCUAAUUUAUUCAGGGAACCCACUAACCCCAGGUCUGUCUCUACCAUUAGAUACGCUCACACACACACACACACACAUACACGCGCGCAUGCAGGCACGCACGCACACACACACACACACACAUUCCUUACUCCACUAUUAGACCACAGAUCUGGGACAGAGAGAGCAGAGUGUAGCCUGUUUACCAUAGGAGUUUACAAACAGAUUUGGGACCAGGCUGAGCAGAACAAUAUAGGACUGGGGAUGGCAGACUACACUGGAGAAGGCAGACUACACUGGAGAUGGUAGACUAGACUGGAGAUGGUAGACUAGACUGGAGAAGAUAGACUACACUGGAGAUGGUAGACUAGACUGGAGAUGGUAGACUAGAAUGGAGAUGGCAGACUAGACUGGAGAUGGUAGACUGGAGAUGGUAGACUACACUGGAGAAGGCAGACUAGACUGGAGAAGGCAGACUAGACUGGAGAUGGCAGACUAGACUGGAGAUGGUAGACUAGACUGGAGAUGGUAGACUGGACUGGAGAUGGCAGACUAGACUGGAGAUGGCAGACUGGACUGGAGAUGGCAGACUGGACUGGAGAUGGCAGACUAGACUGGAGAUGGCAGACUAGACUGGAGAUGGCAGACUAGACUGGGGAUGGCAGACUGGGGAUGGUAGACUACACUGGAGAUAGCAGACUAGACUGGAGAUGGCAGACUAGACUGGAGAUAGCAGACUAGACUGGAGAUGGUAGACUACACUGGAGAUAGCAGACUAGACUGGAGAUGGCAGACUACACUGGAGAUAGCAGACUAGACUGGAGAUGGCAGACUAGACUGGAGAUGGCAGACUGGAGAUGGCAGACUGGGGAUGGUAGACUACACUGGAGAUGGUAGACUACACUGGAGAAGGCAGACUAGACUGGAGAUGGCAGACUAGACUGGAGAUGGCAGACUAGACUGGAGAUGGCAGACUACACUGGAGAUGGUAGACUAGACUGGAGAUGGUAGACUAGACUGGAGAAGGCAGACUAUACUGGAGAUGGUAGACUAGACUGGAGAUGGCAGACUACACUGGAGAUGGUAGACUAGACUGGAGAUGGUAGACUAGACUGGAGAAGGCAGACUAUACUGGAGAUGGUAGACAAGCAUUUCGCCACACUCGCAUUAACAUCUGCUAACCAUGUGUAUGUGACAAAUACAAUUUGAUUUGAUUUAGACUGGAGAUGGUAGACUAGACUGGAGAUGGUAGACUAGACUGGAGAUGGUAGACUAGACUGGAGAAGGCAGACUAGACUGGAGAUGGUAGACUAGACUGGAGAUGGUAGACUAGAAUGGAGAAGGCAGACUGGAGAUGGCAGACUGGGGAUGGUAGACUACACUGGAGAUGGUAGACUAGACUGGAGAUGGUAGACUACACUGGAGAUGGUAGACUACACUGGAGAUGGUAGACUAGACUGGAGAUGGUAUACUAGACUGGAGAUGGUAGACUAGACUGGAGAUGGUAGACUAGACUGGAGAAGGCAGACUACACUGGAGAUGGUAGACUAGACUGGAGAUGGUAGACUAGACUGGAGAUGGUAGACUAGACUGGAGAUGGUAGACUAGACUGGAGAUGGUAGACUAGACUGGAGAUGGUAGACUAGACUGGAGAAGGCAGACUACACUGGAGAUGGUAGACUAGACUGGAGAAGGCAGACUACACUGGAGAUGGUAGACUAGACUGGAGAUGGCAGACUACACUGGAGAUGGUAGACUAGACUGGAGAUGGUAGACUAGACUGGAGAUGGUAGACUAGACUGGAGAUGGUAGACUAGACUGGAGAUGGUUGACUAGACUGGAGAUGGCAGACUAGACUGGAGAUGGCAGACUAGACUGGAGAUGGCAGACUAGACUGGAGAUGGUUGAUGAUGAUAAAUCGGACCUUUUCUGAAAUACAUCUCGUUGUGUCUCG
Molecule: long non-coding RNA, 1984 nt
Organism: Oncorhynchus tshawytscha (Chinook salmon)
Lineage: Eukaryota; Metazoa; Chordata; Actinopteri; Salmoniformes; Salmonidae
Source: Ensembl